RNAcentral lists this unclassified non-coding RNA (217 nucleotides) under plant metagenome. RNAcentral describes it as "partial contains small subunit ribosomal RNA, internal transcribed spacer 1, and 5.8S ribosomal RNA". The record is from RNAcentral.
GCUCCGUAGGUGAACCUGCGGAGGGAUCAUUACAAGUGACCCCGGUCUAACCACCGGGAUGUUCAUAACCCUUUGUUGUCCGACUCUGUUGCCUCCGGGGCGACCCUGCCUUCGGGCGGGGGCUCCGGGUGGACACUUCAAACUCUUGCGUAACUUUGCAGUCUGAGUAAACUUAAUUAAUAAAUUAAAACUUUUAACAACGGAUCUCUUGGUUCUG